This is a long non-coding RNA of Patella vulgata (common limpet), 295 nucleotides long. RefSeq lists it as uncharacterized. The transcript has 3 exons. The record is from RefSeq and is a predicted model, not a curated record. Lineage: Eukaryota; Metazoa; Mollusca; Gastropoda; Patellidae.
ACUCCCGAGGAUUUCGCAGGUCCUGGCGCGGGAGAACCCUAUCCUCGAAUCCUGUUGCAGGACAAUGGAGGGGAAGAGGUCGUCCACAGUAGAGGGUUAUACAAGUGGUUUUAAACAAAAUUUCAACAGAUAUGGUCAACAAAGUGAUGUUGGUGGUACCGGGUUGGUCUUCACAGAUCUGAAACAAGCACCUUUUCCAAGACGGUAUUAUCGUCGGUGAAUAAAUAAAUUAUUGGUGGUGGUGGUGGUGUUUCCUGUUUUAUUGUAAAUUUAAUUCAUUUAUUUAAGUAAUGAA